CGGAUCGGUACUCGGUAUUGGCCACUACGCAAGUUCAGGUAUCGGAAUCGGUAUCGUGAGGGAAAAAAUGGUAUCAGACCUUCUCUAAUUACAGUUAUUACAGU
Sander lucioperca (pikeperch) is the source of this 104-nucleotide long non-coding RNA. RefSeq lists it as uncharacterized. NCBI's taxonomy places the organism in Eukaryota, Metazoa, Chordata, Actinopteri, Perciformes, Percidae. The transcript is spliced from 3 exons. The record is from RefSeq and is a predicted model, not a curated record.